CCUACGGGGGGCUGCAGUCGAGAAUCUUUCGCAAUGGGCGAAAGCCUGACGAAGCGACGCCGUGUGUGUGAUGAAGGCCUUAGGGUUGUAAAGCACUUUCGCCUGGGAACGAGUAUCAGGUAAAGAAGCACCGGCUAACUACGUGCCAGCAGCUGCGGUAAUACGUAGGGUGCAAGCAUUAAUCGGAUUUAUUGGGCGUAAAGGGCGCGUAGGCGGAAGUUUAAGUCAGAUGUGAAAUCCCGGAGCUCAACUCCGGAACAGCAUUUGAAACUGAUCAUCUAGAGGGUAGGCGGAGAAAACGGAAUUCCACAAGUAGCGGUGAAAUGCGUAGAUAUGUGGAAGAACACCAGUGGCGAAGGCGGUUUUCUAGCUUAACUGACGCUGAUGCGCGAAAGCAAGGGGAGCAAACAGGAUUAGAUACCCUUGUAGUC
Molecule: ribosomal RNA, 431 nt
Filed under: uncultured bacterium
Lineage: Bacteria
Description: partial 16S ribosomal RNA
Rfam family: Bacterial small subunit ribosomal RNA
Source: RNAcentral